This is a long non-coding RNA of Portunus trituberculatus (swimming crab), 784 nucleotides long. RefSeq lists it as uncharacterized. The record is from RefSeq and is a predicted model, not a curated record. The transcript is spliced from 2 exons. Lineage: Eukaryota; Metazoa; Arthropoda; Malacostraca; Decapoda; Portunidae.
CGUGUGUGUGUAAAUUUUAUUUAUGUAUUUUUUGUGUAGCUUGUAGGUAAGUUUUAGAGGCCUGACAAAGUAGUUUUUAUUUCUUAAGUGUUUCAUUCCCAAUAAAUCAGGUUUGUGUACUUUGGAGUGUUUGUUUGUAUGAUGUUGAUGCUGCAACUUUUUUUCAAAUAAUUCCUUAGAUAUAUCUUUAUCAUUGGUCUACUCAGGUAUGUUUUUAUACUUCCAUAGUUGAUUAAAAAUUAUGCCCUUUCAAAAUUGAAUAGGCAUUACAGCUUUGGUUUCUCUUUUCUAUGGGCCAUUUUUUAAAAGAAAGCAGUCACGCAUAUAUAAUAUGACGUCAUCCUAGCUGGGGCCGACACAAGCCAAGGCAGCUAGGGUCGCUCUAGGCUGGCAGGAGGGUGUUUGUGUAGCCAUAUAUAAGCAACCUGCUGCCUGUUGCGACACUGCAUCCAGCAUAUUGAUCCCUCCACACUUUUGCAAGUUUAAGGAGUAUUGCAGCAUGAAGCACAUGGGUGACCUGUUCCUGGAGGUGCUGGUGAUGCUGUCUAGGCCGGAGCAGCAUGGUCAACCUGGCUACCCACAGUUCCAUCACCACUGCUACUGUGUUAUUAUUUUUUUUUCUAUACUUAUCAUUGCCAUCAUUGUUGUUGCUGCUCCUGUUAUUCUUUUCUUAUUUGUUAUGUUCAGUGUUACGUUGCUAUUAUCGCAACGGUGUACCCAAUGCAUCUAUAUAAUGUUUGUUACAGUGCUGGGUGUGUUCAAGUAAAUGUUAUAUUGGAAUACA